UGGGGAAUAUUGCACAAUGGGCGAAAGCCUGAUGCAGCAACGCCGCGUGAGUGAUGAAGGUCUUCGGAUUGUAAAGCUCUGUCUUUUGGGACGAUAAUGACGGUACCAAAGGAGGAAGCCACGGCUAACUACGUGCCAGCAGCCGCGGUAAUACGUAGGUGGCGAGCGUUGUCCGGAUUUACUGGGCGUAAAGGGUGCGUAGGCGGAUGUUUAAGUGAGAUGUGAAAUACCCGGGCUUAACUUGGGUGCUGCAUUUCAAACUGGAUAUCUAGAGUGCAGGAGAGGAGAAUGGAAUUCCUAGUGUAGCGGUGAAAUGCGUAGAGAUUAGGAAGAACACCAGUGGCGAAGGCGAUUCUCUGGACUGUAACUGACGCUGAGGCACGAAAGCGUGGGUAGCAAACAGGAUUAGAUACCCUGGUAGUCCACGCCGUAAACGAUGAGUACUAGGUGUAGGAGGUAUCGACCCCUUCUGUGCCGCAGUAAACACAUUAAGUACUCCGCCUGGGAAGUACGAUCGCAAGAUUAAAACUCUAAAGUG
This 538-nucleotide ribosomal RNA is filed under the name uncultured bacterium. RNAcentral describes it as "partial 16S ribosomal RNA". It matches the Rfam family "Bacterial small subunit ribosomal RNA", at positions 355 to 909 of the family's 1533-position model. The record is from RNAcentral.